ACUGCUCAGUAACACGUGGCUAAUCUGCCCUUGGGACCGGAACACCCCCGGGAAACUGGGGCUAAUUCUCGAUAGGUGAAGAACUCUGGAAUGAGUCUUCGCCAAAAAGACGUUUACGUUAUGCUCGUAGGCGUCGCCCAAGGAUGAGGCCGCGACCGAUCAGGUUGUUGGUGAGGUAAUGGCUCACCAAGCCUUUUACCGGUGCGGGCCGUGAGAGCGGGAGCCCGGAGAUGGGCACUGAGACAAGGGCCCAGGCCCUACGGGGCGCAGCAGUCGCGAAAACUUUGCAAUACACGAAAGUGUGACAGGGCUAUCCCGAGUGCCAUCCGCUGAGGAAGGCUUUUACCCAGUCUAGAACGCUGGGGGAAUAAGGAGAGGGCAAGUCUGGUGUCAGCCGCCGCGGUAAUACCAGCUCUCCGAGUGGUGUGGAUGUUUAUUGGGCCUAAAGCAUCCGUAGCUGGCUAAGUUAGUCCCUUGUUAAAUCCACCGAAUUAAUCGUUGGAUUGCGGGGGAUACUGCUUGGCUAGGGGACGAGAGAGGCAGACGGUAUUUCCGGGGUAGGGGUGAAAUCCUAUAAUCCCGGGAAGACCACCAGUGGCGAAGGCUGUCUGCUAGAACGCGCCCGACGGUGAGGGAUGAAAGCUGGGGGAGCGAACCGGAUUAGAUACCCGGGUAGUCCCAGCUGUAAACGAUGCAGGCUAGGUGUUUGGACGGCCACGUGCCGUUCUAGUGCCGCAGGGAAGCUGUUAAGCCUGCCGCCUGGGGAGUACGAUCGCAAGAUUGAAACUUAAAGGAAUUGGCGGGGGAGCA
This 810-nucleotide ribosomal RNA is filed under the name uncultured archaeon. Its description in RNAcentral is "bacterial SSU rRNA". It matches the Rfam family "Archaeal small subunit ribosomal RNA", at positions 85 to 878 of the family's 1478-position model. The record is from RNAcentral.